This 81-nucleotide ribosomal RNA is filed under the name uncultured eukaryote. RNAcentral's name for it is "partial 18S ribosomal RNA". The record is from RNAcentral.
UGGUGGUGUGAUUUGUCUGGUUACUUCAGUUAACGAGCAAGACUUUGCUUGUCUAACGCAAGGAAGUUCGAGGCAGUAACA